Molecule: ribosomal RNA, 465 nt
Filed under: Vreelandella stevensii
Lineage: Bacteria; Pseudomonadati; Pseudomonadota; Gammaproteobacteria; Oceanospirillales; Halomonadaceae
Description: partial 16S ribosomal RNA
Rfam family: Bacterial small subunit ribosomal RNA
Source: RNAcentral
CCUACGGGGGGCUGCAGUGGGGAAUAUUGGACAAUGGGGGGAACCCUGAUCCAGCCAUGCCGCGUGUGUGAAGAAGGCCCUCGGGUUGUAAAGCACUUUCAGUGAGGAAGAACGCCUGGUGGUUAAUACCCAUCAGGAAAGACAUCACUCACAGAAGAAGCACCGGCUAACUCCGUGCCAGCAGCCGCGGUAAUACGGAGGGUGCGAGCGUUAAUCGGAAUUACUGGGCGUAAAGCGCGCGUAGGUGGCUUGAUAAGCCGGUUGUGAAAGCCCCGGGCUCAACCUGGGAACGGCAUCCGGAACUGUCAAGCUAGAGUGCAGGAGAGGAAGGUAGAAUUCCCGGUGUAGCGGUGAAAUGCGUAGAGAUCGGGAGGAAUACCAGUGGCGAAGGCGGCCUUCUGGUCUGACACUGACACUGAGGUGCGAAAGCGUGGGUAGCAAACAGGAUUAGAUACCCUAGUAGUC